AAUGAACGCUGGCGGCAUGCCUAACACAUGCAAGUCGAACGAGACCUCCGGGUCUUUUGGCUCUUGGGUGUGUCACGCGUCGGAACCUGCCCUUAUGUUUGGAAUAACUCUCCGACAGGGGUGCUAAUACCGGAUAAUGUCUUCUACCCAAAGAUUUUUCGCCUUUGGUUGGGCCGGCGUUGGAUUCGCUGUUUGGUUGGGUAAAAGCCUACCAAGGCGACGAUCCAUAGCUGGUUAGAGAGAAUGCUCAGCGACACUGGGGCUAGGACACGGCAGAGACUCCUACGGGAGGGAGGAGAGGGGGAUAGAGGAAAAUGGGGUAAAGGAUGAAGGAGCAAUGCCGGGAAAGUGAUGAAGGUGUGAGAGUAGAAAAGCACUUUUACCCGGGAAGAUAAUGACGGUACCGAAAGAAUAAGCACCGGCUAACUCCGUG
Molecule: ribosomal RNA, 433 nt
Filed under: uncultured bacterium
Lineage: Bacteria
Description: partial 16S ribosomal RNA
Rfam family: Bacterial small subunit ribosomal RNA
Source: RNAcentral